RNAcentral lists this unclassified non-coding RNA (430 nucleotides) under uncultured Hygrophorus. RNAcentral's name for it is "sequence contains ITS2". The stretch from base 33 to 186 matches the Rfam family "5.8S ribosomal RNA". The record is from RNAcentral. Lineage: Eukaryota; Fungi; Basidiomycota; Agaricomycetes; Agaricales; Hygrophoraceae.
AACUUUUGGCAAUGGAUCUCCUCACGCAAUGCAACUUUUGGCAACGGAUCUCUUGGCUCUCGCAUCGAUGAAGAACGCAGCGAAAUGCGAUAAGUAAUGUGAAUUGCAGAAUUCAGUGAAUCAUCGAAUCUUUGAACGCACCUUGCGCUCCUUGGUAUUCCGAGGAGCAUGCCUGUUUGAGUGUCAUCAAAUUCUCAAACCUCUCAAAUUUAUAUAGAGAGGCCUUUGGACUUGGAGUGUUUCUUGCUUCAUUUGUCAGCUCCUCUUAAAUGCAUUAGCUUGUACCUUGUGGAUAAGCUUUGGUUUGAUAAUAUCUAUGCCAUCGCUGUAAAACAAAUGUCAGCUUCUAACCGAUUCAUAUCCUUAACAAUUUGACCUCAAAUCAGGUAGGACUACCCGCUGAACUUAAGCAUAUCAAUAAGCGGAGGCU